Molecule: transfer RNA, 67 nt
Filed under: Helcystogramma macroscopa
Lineage: Eukaryota; Metazoa; Arthropoda; Insecta; Lepidoptera; Gelechiidae
Description: tRNA-Cys
Source: RNAcentral
AGUCUUAUAAUCAAAAAUGAUAUAAAAUUGCAAAUUUUAAAGUAUAAUUUAUAAAUUAUUAAGGCUU